CCCCGGGCUCAACCUGGGAACUGCGUUCUGAACUGGGUGACUAGAGUGUGUCAGAGGGAGGUAGAAUUNCACGUGUAGCAGUGAAAUGCGUAGAGAUGUGGAGGAAUACCGAUGGCGAAGGCAGCCUCCUGGGAUAACACUGACGUUCAUGCCCGAAAGCGUGGGUAGCAAACAGGAUUAGAUACCCUGGUAGUCCACGCCCUAAACGAUGUCGAUUAGCUGUUGGGCAGCAUGACUGCUUAGUAGCGAAGCUAACGCGUGAAAUCGACCGCCUGGGGAGUACGGUCGCAAGAUUAAAACUCAAAGGAAUUGACGGGGACCCGCACAAGCGGUGGAUGAUGUGGAUUAAUUCGAUGCAACGCGAAGAACCUUACCUGGUCUUGACGUGUGCGGAACCCUCCAGAGACGGAGGGGUGCCUUCGGGAGCCGUAACACAGGUGCUGCAUGGCUGUCGUCAGCUCGUGUCGUGAGAUGUUGGGUUAAGUCCCGCAACGAGCGCAACCCUUGUCAUUAGUUGCCAUCAUUAAGUUGGGCACUCUAAUGAGACUGCCGGUGACAAGCCGGAGGAAGGUGGGGAUGACGUCAAGUCCUCAUGGCCCUUAUGACCAGGGCUUCACACGUCAUACAAUGGUCGGUACAGAGGGUAGCCAAGCCGCGAGGUGGAGCCAAUCUCACAAAACCGAUCGUAGUCCGGAUUGCACUCUGCAACUCGAGUGCAUGAAGUCGGAAUCGCUAGUAAUCGCAGGUCAGCAUACUGCGGUGAAUACGUUCCCGGGUCUUGUACACACCGCCCGUCACACCAUGGGAGUGGGGGAUACCAGAAGUAGGUA
This 830-nucleotide ribosomal RNA is filed under the name uncultured bacterium. RNAcentral's name for it is "bacterial SSU rRNA". It matches the Rfam family "Bacterial small subunit ribosomal RNA", at positions 601 to 1432 of the family's 1533-position model. The record is from RNAcentral.